GCCGGCUCCUUGACGAGUACUUUCCGUCGACCGAACUCGUACGUACAAUACCACGUUGAUCGAUUCUUCCUGAGACAAGGUGCACGUACAAAGCUAGCUAGCAAGCAGCCUAGUAGCUGGAUGGAUUUUACUUGGUGUCACCUAGCUUCGAAUACUACUCGGUGUCAGCUAGCUUCGAAUACGAGCCAGAUCAAGUCGCAGACGGAACACUGAAAAAUACACGCACGCAAGACAACACUAAGACGCCGAGAUUGAUGGCUACGGGAGCGUGCCGCUCCCGAAUAUUUCUGUGUAUUGCUUUGAUAUGAGUAUUAUACGGGAAGCUAGUACAUAUAUAUAGUACCUAGACUACAUAGUACAAGCCGACUCGGUCAGGGAUUGAAUCCGUGCCGGACUCAAUUUUGGCUAAUCGUGAUUAGUUCCAAUAAUCACCCCCCUAAGCACGAUGUCCUCACUUCACAGCUUGGACGCCGAUCCUUUCCCGUAUCUCUGUGAACUUCUGUCGUCCCAAAGACUUGGUCAGGAUAUCUGCAAGCUGAUCCUCGGUGCAAACGUAGUUGACUUCAAUCUUGCCUUCUUCCACACACUGCCGUAUGUAGUGAUACCUUAUAUCUAUGUGCUUAGUCCUGUCAUGAUGCACUGGAUUCUUACACAGGGCAAUCGCAGACUUGUUGUCAACAUUGAACACCACCCUUUCUGGUUCUUUAUCUGUGAGGUCACCGAGUAGCCUUUCUAGCCACACACCUUGACCCGCUGCGGUUGCAGCUGCUAUAUACUCUGCUUCGCAGGACGAUAAUGCGACCACCUUCUGUUUUUGUGAUAGCCAAGUUACUAUGCUCCUGCCCAAGAAAUAUGCCAGACCCGAGGUACUUUUACGGUCAUCCACAUCUCCUGCCAGGUCGCUAUCACUGUAGCCAAGUAGCUCCACCAUCUCCUUCUUUUUCUCUCUCAAAUAGACACAACCAAAGUUUGUUGUCCCUUUGAUGUACCUGAGUAUAUGUUUGACAGCUGCCCAAUGUUCAGUCGUGGAUGAUUCCAUGAAGCGACUCACUAUGCCAACGGAAUAGGCCAAGUCCGGUCGUGUAUUCACAAGAUACCUUAGGCUUCCGACCACACUUCUAUAAUCCGUUGCAUCAACCGCAGGGGCUUCACUCCUUUUGCUAAGUUUAAGACGAGGCUCCAUUGGAGCAUAAGUUGGUUUGCAAUCCUCCAUGCUACAACUUUGAAGUAUCUUCUUUGCAUAUGCCUCUUGACAUAGUGUGAUCCCAUUCGGCUUUUGUUGUACCUCGAUCCUGAGGUAGUAUGUCAAGAGCCCUAGAUCACUCAUCUUGAAUAGCUCCUUCAUUUGUAGCUUGAAUCUUGCAAUCUCCUCUUCGUCUGCUCCAGUUAUCAAGAGAUCAUCAACAUAGAUGCCCACUAAGAGACGAUCCUUGCCUUUACCUCGCUUGUACAUAGCAUGUUCGAGUGGACUUUUCUCAAAACCAAGAGAAAUCAAUGUACGGUCAAGCUUGAUGUUCCAUGCCCGAGGAGCUUGAUGUAGCCCAUACAAUGCCUUGUGUAGCUUCAAAACCUUGUGUUCUUCUCCUUCUUUGAUGUACCCCGGUGGUUGCUUCACGUAUACUUCUUCUUCCAACUCCCCGUUCAAAAACGUGGAUUUUACAUCCAUGUGAUGUAGCCUCCAAGAUUCUUGAGCCGCGAGAGCUAUAACUAGCCUCACCGAUUCCAUCCUUGUGACUGGAGCGAACACUUCCUCGAAGUCCACACCUUGCUCUUGCACGAAUCCUUUAGCUACGAGCCGAGCUUUAUGCUUGACCAAGUUUCCUUCGGCAUCCUUCUUGACUUUGUACACCCACUUGAGCCCUAUGGAUUUUUGACCGUUGGGAAGAUCAGCGAGCUCCCAUACUUUGUUGUCUCGUAUUGAUCCCAACUCUUCAUCCAUAGCACGACGCCAACACUCCUCGGUAUUUGCUUCUUCAAAUUUCGUCGGUUCCUCGACGCUAAGCAAACAUUGUCGUCCUCUUAUAACUUUGACAGGAUUAAUAGUACGAAGUGCUUCCUCCGGAUAUAAAUCCACCACUGGUCGAAGACGAAUUGGUGUCGGUGGACGUUCCCUUGUCUCCUGUUCUGUCGAAGACGAGGAAUUUUCAUCUUGUGGAGUUGCCAAACUCCUGUUUUUUGGCGAUCCAGGUUCUCCAGAAUUAGUUGCACGUACAUGUGAACCUUCAAGUCCACGUGCAUGCCUUCCUGUCUCACAACUAGCUUGAGUAGGAGCCAGAUUCUGGCCACGUCCAGGCUGUGGACUUCCAGGCGCAGCUCCCAGGCUGCUCCCCUGUGGUACGUAGUCACUUGGUCGAGCGCUUCGAGCAUUGCUUGGUGUGCUGCACGAGCCAUCGCACGCCUCGUCUGCUGCGUCCUGCUGCGUGCCUUGGCGCGCCUCCGUCGCUGCUUUAUCUGGCGCGUUCAGUUGCGCUGCGUUGUUUGGAGAAUCACUCGGCGUCGUUGUAGUCUCCGGUUGAUUAUCGACAUGCUCGUAUUCGUUGUAAAUAACGUGAAAGAUUUCAUCAGAGAUCGGGUAUACCGGCUCGGUAGAGUUCCAAUUCCAUGACCUUGCUUCUUCAAAGACCACGUCACGCGUCACAACCACCUUAUUGGUAGAGGGGUUGCACGCACGGUACGCCUUCGAGCCUGCUUCAUAGCCAACCAAUAUCAUUGGAGUACUCCGAUCCGCCAACUUACUUGUAUGCCCGGCCACCGUCUUCACAUGCGCCACACACCCGAAAGUACGAAGAUGAUCAACCGCGGGCUUAUGUCCGUACCAUGCUUCGUACGGCGUCAUCCCAACCACACUCUUGGUUGGAGCCCGGUUCAGCAAAUAAACGGCCGUAUUGACCGCCUCACCCCAAAACUUGCCCGGGAUCCCUUUGCUCUUCAUCAUGCUUCGUGCCAUCGCCACCAUGGUUUGAUUCCUCCGUUCCACAACACUGUUUUGCUGCGGUGAAUAUGGCGCCGUAAGAUACCGCUUGAUCCCAUGUGCUUCGCAAAAUUCUGUGAAUUCACGAGACUUGAACUCACCCCCCCGAUCGGUACGGAGGGCCUUCAGCUUGGCUUCGGAUUCUACCUCGGCCGCCAUCUUUACUUUCCUGAAGGCUUGCAAAGCUUGGUCCUUCGUCUUCAACAACACAAUCCACAUGUAUCUGCUGAAGUCGUCGAUGAUGAGUAAGAAGUAUUUGUUCCCAGCCGGGGUAGCCGGUGUAAUGGGUCCGCACAAGUCUCCAUGGACCAACUCAAGAGCUUUACUUGCUCUAAAGUUUCCCUCUCUCGGGAACAAGGCCUGCCUUUGUUUCCCAACAAGGCAACCGUCCCACACUUGCUCAACAUGAUCAAUGCACGGUAGGCCACGUACCAUCUCCCUUUGUCCAAGUUGCCGAAGAGCCUGGAAAUUUAGAUGACCGUAGCGCGCGUGCCACUUCCAUGCCGAGUCCUCCAUGCUUGACAAGAGACAUACUGGAUCCACACGAUCCAAGUUGAGGACGUAGAGUCUGUUUGGCGACCUCUGCACCUUCAUGAUCAGCAUCCUCUGACGGUCAUACCCCCAUAGAUAGCCAUCUUCGAGCACAAUCUUGCAACCACGCUCCUCGAGCUGGCCAAGACUUAUGAUGUUGCUCUUUAGCUUGGGAAUAUAGUACACAUCUGUGAGUACCUUGUGACCGCCAUUCUUCAGCUCAAACAGGACAGUACCUCGCCCUGUGAUGUCAACGGUCCGCCCGUCACCGAACCGAACCGUGCCUCCAACCGAGAGAUUUAGCUCAGAAAACUGGUCCUUGUCACCGGUCAUGUGGUUGCUUGCUCCCGUGUCGAGGUACCACACGUGCCUCGCCGUGUUCACCCUCUUCUUGUCAUGAAGGUAAACCUUCUCUUCGUCGAGCGUGACAACCUCGGUAGCCGGUGCCUUCGGAGCUGGACCAUCCUCGUCCAUAAGCUCGCAUACUUCGACCAUGAGCAUCACAUCGCUAUCAUCGCCUCCCUUGGCCAUGAGUGAUUUUUCCUUCGGUGGACUCUUGCAAUCAGACUUGAAGUGACCGAGGAUUCCACAAUUGUGACACCUUACUUUUUUUAUGUCAAAUUUUCUCCUUGGUUUUCUAGCCUUUUCUUCCUGUCCAGCGAGGUCCUUUUUCGCCGGGCUUUGCUUCUCCUUUGCUUUACUACCGCUUGUGGAUCCACCUUGUUUUCCUUUCGACAGGGCCAUCCAUUGCGCCAUUGUAACCAUGAGAUGCUCACUCUCCUUCGAAUCGCCGAAGCUGAGACGAAUUCUCUCGUCGUGGGCCUUGAACCUUCCGACGAGAUCCUCGACCGUGAGAGUGUUCAGGUCAAGACAUUGCUCGAUCGACGUGACGAUUUGGAUGUAGCGCGCCGGCGCGGCGCGCAAAAAUCGUCGGACGAUCGCAACUUCUUCUAGGGUUGAACCAUAGCCGCGUAUGCCGUUGACGAGGGUCUUGAGACGGGCGGCAAACUGAUCAACCGUCUCGCUUUCCUCCAUCUUCAGGCACUCGUAGCUUCUCAUCAGAGACUGAAGGUGUGCGUCCUUGACACGGUCAUGACCCUGGUGCAGGAUCUUGAUGGUCUCCCAUGCCUCCUUCGCCGUUUUCUUUCCGACGAGGUGUUGUAGCACAUCCUUCGGCAUGGCGGAGUAGAUCGCCGUUAACGCCCGACGAUCCGUCCGGUACUUUGCCGCGCCUUUCGCGUACUCGGCGCCGCUGGGAUCGACGGCUUUCCAGAACUCCGCUCCCUCCAUCGCGACCUCCAUGUUCAUCGCCCAUAGUGCGUAGUCCUCUCGAUCCAGUCGGGGGAAUUGCGACCCCCCAACCAUCGGCAUCUGUGCUUUAGCUCCCGCCACAACGAUCUCCUUGCCCGGGUUUGACAUGAUCCUUCGAUUGCUUUCCGAAGAUCACGCCAAUAAACCAAGCUCUAGAUACCAAUUGUUGACACAUGCCCGAUCAAGCGUUGUACGCCGGCUCCUUGACGAGUAUUUUCCGUCGACCGAACUCGUACGUACAAUACCACGUUGAUCGAUUCUUCCUGAGACAAGGUGCACGUACAAAGCUAGCUAGCAAGCAGCCUAGUUGCUGGAUGGAUUUUACUUGGUGUCAGCUAGCUUCGAAUACUACUCGGUGUCAGCUAGCUUCGAAUACGAGCCAGAUCAAGUCGCCGGCGGAACACUGAAAAAUACACGCACGCAAGACAACACUAAGACGUCGAGAUUGAUGGCUACGGGAGCGUGUCGCUCCCGAAUAUUUCUGUGUAUUGCUUUGAUCUGAGUAUUACAGGGGGAGCUAGUACAUAUAUAUAUAUAGUACCUAGACUACAUAGUACAAGCCGACUCGGCCAGGGAUUGAAUCCCCGGACUCAAUUUUAACUAAUCGUGAUUAGUUCCAAUAGUGCUGUGACAUCCUCUGUAGGGAGGGAAUAUUUUGAUAGUCUCCACAGGAACAUACGGACUUUAGAUGGCACCUCCGUUUUCCACAAAGCUCUCCAAGUUCCUUCUUCUCUGUUCGUAUGCGAGGACCCCUCCGAACCUUCCAGCCAUGCCUCUCUUCUUUGCGUCGUCGCCACCAACAUGUUAUAUGCUGAUUUGACUGAACACUGACCACUCCUCUCAUGCGCCCAUGCGCAAAAAUCCUGCAUAUUCAUGGUACACAGUGGGAUGCUAGCAAUUAACUUGGCGUCAAAAUGGAUGAAAGUGGUCCUCAGAAGAUGGUAAUUCCAUGUAGCCGUAGUGGGAUCUAUUAGCUCCGAAACAGUAGUUAGUGGGUUAGCUGAAAUGCAUCCAUACGGCCUCAUGAUCUCCCCACGAGGGACCCAAUUAUCCUCCCAUAUAUUUAUGCUUUCACCGUUGCCAAUACGCUUUAUUAAGCCAUAUCUCAGUGUGUCACGGCCUUCUAAUAUGGCCCUCCACUGGGGAUUUCGUCGCCCAUCUUUGCUUUCCCUUCAAAAUUUCCUUAUCAACAUGUUCAGGUUCUCAUAUAAAGACCUCUAGGCAAACACGACAUAGAAAAUACUGGGCCGGCCUGGGCAACAGAUUUCACCAACACUUCCUUCCCUGCUGAUGACAUGGUUCUCUCAAUCCAUCCCUAUAUCUUGCUCCACAAAGGGUCCUUUAGAUAUUUAUAAAGGCUCCAUUUUUUGAACUCCCAAUAUCGGAUGUGUGACGCCCCCAACUUAAUAGUACGCUAAUCAUACAUGCAAAUACGUACGACCAAGGUUAGAGACUCGCGAGAAGAUAUCACAACAUAACUCUAGACACAUAUUAAAGUCAUACAGACAUCAUAUUACAAGUCAGGGCCUCGAGGGCUUGAAUAUAUAAGCUCGAAUACACACGAGUCAGUGGAAGCAAAUAAUAUCUGAGUAGAUACAUAUAAACAAAUUUUGCCUUAAGAAGGCUAGCACCAACAUAACAUAGAUCGAAAGAGGCGAGGCCUCCUGCUUGGGAACCUCCUAACUACUCCUGGUCUCAGCGGCCUCCACGUAGUAGUAGGAUCCGUCGGAGUAGUAGUCAUCGAUGGGAUCAGCCAUCUCUUGGGCUCCGUAAUCUGGUCGCGGCAAUCGUAUCAAGAGGAAGGGGGGCAAAGCAACACUGGGUACCCAUUCAAAGUACUCACAAGGCUGGCAUCAAAACUAUGCCAAAUAUGCAUCAAUAUCAAAAGAAUGGGGGCUAUAUCUUUGGACUGACUGCAACAAUGUGAGAAUGGAGAGAAAUGGCUAGUCCUAUCAAAGACUAGCAACUUUAGUGUCUGUCAGGAAAAUGAGAAACUCUGGAGUUAUUGCAUUGAUGUGUACAAACAUCUAAAAAUCUAGCAGAUCCUUUCACGAAGGGUCAAUCAUGUAAUAUGAUAGAUAAUGCAUGGAAGGAGAUGGGUACGAGACCCAGAAUAUGAAUUGCUCACAGUGAUAACCUAUUCUAUGUGAUCGGAGAUCCCGUGAACUAGAUGCGGAAGACAAACCGUUGGUCAACUCAGAGAAAAGUAUCCUUACCAUUGAUAAUACCACUCCAUGAAGAUACAAUACUUUCCUAUAUGGCAGGUUGAUAUAUAUCUUAAUGUGUCUAAAUGGCUUAUUAAAGCAGAGAUGUUGUCCUGCAGAACAUCUUUUGAAGAACACACCUAUAUGAAUUUGAUUGUUAACGUUGCAAUCUAUGAGAGUAGGGUGUUCUCUAGUAAACUCAUGAAAGGCCUCAGAGUAUGACGCAUAAGAUCCACCCGCGGGGAAGUCCCCGGUAGCCUAGUAUCGAUCAAGGCUCUUUGUGAAGCUAGAAAAGUAGCAGUUCAAGGCAUAGUCCACUGUUCAAGUUUCUUACUAGUGUGCCAUAAAGUUCUAGGUGGAAGUUCAACUUAACAGUCUCCAGUGCAGUAGCGAUAUAUAAACAAUGUUUUGGAACCUAAGGCAAAUUUUUUGUACCUCUCGGAUCUGGUGGGGGAUUGCUGGAAUCUAACCGCUAUGGGCCAGCCCAAGAACCAUUUUUAGAAUUCCUAAUAAAUCCUAGAGGCCCACUUAGCCCAUUCGUGCAAGGCAAGAGGUGGAACUGAAGCUUAGUCCCACAUUGCUAGUUUGGAAGGAGUAGGACCUCCUUAUAAGGGAGGAUAUUUCCCCACAUAUAUGAGCAUGAGAACGAGACAUACACACGCGCUCCACCUCCUCCGCCGCCCGCCUCACCUCGUCAUGAUGCGCCACAGGUUGUGGGAAUGAGCCAAGCCGAUGCCUAAAAUUUUGCCACACACGACUAGUGUACGAAAGGUCGCUUGGGAGCUGAAAAGUUUUGCGGUAGUGGAGAUUAAAUACGAACGCUGCACCUUUCGGUUGCUGCCUCUUCGUUUUUGUCUCUCUCUUUUGCUUCGCCUCAUGUCGCUGUCUGUUCGCCUCCUUCUCCUGUGUCUAUAAAAGAGAUGUCGCUCC
RNAcentral lists this long non-coding RNA (7947 nucleotides) under Hordeum vulgare. Its description in RNAcentral is "long non-coding RNA (HVUL_LNC016919)". Lineage: Eukaryota; Viridiplantae; Streptophyta; Magnoliopsida; Poales; Poaceae. The record is from RNAcentral.